GUGAGGAAUAUUGGUCAAUGGGCGCAAGCCUGAACCAGCCAUCCCGCGUGAAGGAAGAAGGCCCUACGGGUUGUAAACUUCUUUUCUGUUUGAAGAAUAAGCUUGUCGAGACAAGUGAUGCCGGUAGGACAGGAAUAAGCAUCGGCUAACUCCGUGCCAGCAGCCGCGGUAAUACGGAGGAUGCAAGCGUUAUCCGGAUUUAUUGGGUUUACAGGGUGCGCAGGUGGUUGAAUAAGUCAGUGGUGAAAGUCUGGCGCUUAACGUUAGGAUUGCCAUUGAUACUGUUUGACUUGAAUAUGGAUGAGGUAGGCGGAAUGUGUAGUGUAGCGGUGAAAUGCUUAGAUAUUACACAGAACACCGAUUGCGAAGGCAGCUUACUAAUCCAUUAUUGACGCUGAGGCACGAAAGCGUGGGGAUCAAACAGGAUUAGAAACCCCGGUAGUCC
Molecule: ribosomal RNA, 445 nt
Filed under: uncultured bacterium
Lineage: Bacteria
Description: partial 16S ribosomal RNA
Rfam family: Bacterial small subunit ribosomal RNA
Source: RNAcentral